UUAUCUGAAAUUAAUUAUUGAAGCUUUUCAAAACUACGGACAUUUCUGUGGGUGAAUUUUUAAAAAAUACGCCUUACGCAAUCGUGGUUUUUGACGAACAUGAUGAUUUCGAUAAUAAGUUGAUAGACCUUGUUCCAACUUCAUGGAUAAUUAUUAAUGAGGAUGACGAGGAAUGUUUGUGUCAAUAUCCACCAAUUGAAAUAGCAAGAACCCAGCUAACUAAGUGGUUGAAAGAACUGAAAAAACCUGACAAGAAUUGGACAAGUCACCAAGUUGAGGUUAAACUUCAUGCUCAUGAUUACAAACAAGGUCUAAGAAGACUUCAGCGAGCUUUUACAACUGCUCAAGCAGCUAGCGAGUCCGAAGAUUCAUAUAAACCGACGUUAUAAUGUGAGACGGUACACGAAGAAAUACAAGCUAUAUUAAAUGAAUCCUCUUCAUUGAACAAUGAAUCAAUAGUGGCUAAAUAAAAUUGUAAUGAAAACCAAUCGACGAAAGAUUCUGAGAGUUCAAAAACAAGUAUUCACAAUAAAACAGCAAAUAAUGCAAACUUAUCUUUAAAGUGAACAUUUUAAUUUAAUAUGUAGCUAAUCUGAGUGGUGCUGAAGGAAAAAUACCGAAAAGGUCUCAAAAAGAGAACUUAGAUGAUAAAUUAAGUGAACUUAAAAGCAAAAUGACUCCAGAGCAACAGAUUGUAAUCGAGUACCUGGAAUCCGAACAAAAACAGUUUCACUGUAAAAAAAAGGCCAUUCGGCAGCCGAAAUGGAAGUAGAUUUCAUAACAAUAAAAAAAACUACUAGGAUAUACAAAAAAAAAAAAUCUGUCAUUACACAGAUUUCCGCAUCACUCAUGAGGUACCGUGUAGUUUAAUGCGUUCCCAUUUUUUUACGUGGUGGGUCCCCAGUAGGCCUAUGCCACGCAGGUGAAAGGAAUGGAGGUAAAACAAGCAAUUAAAGCACUCUAAAAGCUGAAAAAA
Molecule: long non-coding RNA, 976 nt
Organism: Cotesia glomerata
Lineage: Eukaryota; Metazoa; Arthropoda; Insecta; Hymenoptera; Braconidae
Exons: 4
Source: RefSeq, a predicted model, not a curated record